RNAcentral lists this ribosomal RNA (2902 nucleotides) under Klebsiella pneumoniae. Its description in RNAcentral is "23S ribosomal RNA". It matches the Rfam family "Bacterial large subunit ribosomal RNA". The record is from RNAcentral. Lineage: Bacteria; Pseudomonadati; Pseudomonadota; Gammaproteobacteria; Enterobacterales; Enterobacteriaceae.
GGUUAAGCGACUAAGCGUACACGGUGGAUGCCCUGGCAGUCAGAGGCGAUGAAGGACGUGCUAAUCUGCGAAAAGCGUCGGUAAGGUGAUAUGAACCGUUAUAACCGGCGAUGUCCGAAUGGGGAAACCCAGUGCAAUUCGUUGCACUAUCGUUAACUGAAUACAUAGGUUAACGAGGCGAACCGGGGGAACUGAAACAUCUAAGUACCCCGAGGAAAAGAAAUCAACCGAGAUUCCCCCAGUAGCGGCGAGCGAACGGGGAGCAGCCCAGAGUCUGAAUCAGCUUGUGUGUUAGUGGAACGGUCUGGAAAGUCCGACGGUACAGGGUGAUAGUCCCGUACACCAAAAUGCACAGGCUGUGAACUCGAAGAGUAGGGCGGGACACGUGGUAUCCUGUCUGAAUAUGGGGGGACCAUCCUCCAAGGCUAAAUACUCCUGACUGACCGAUAGUGAACCAGUACCGUGAGGGAAAGGCGAAAAGAACCCCGGCGAGGGGAGUGAAAAAGAACCUGAAACCGUGUACGUACAAGCAGUGGGAGCACCUUCGGGUGUGACUGCGUACCUUUUGUAUAAUGGGUCAGCGACUUAUAUUCUGUAGCAAGGUUAACCGUAUAGGGGAGCCGCAGGGAAACCGAGUCUUAACUGGGCGUUAAGUUGCAGGGUAUAGACCCGAAACCCGGUGAUCUAGCCAUGGGCAGGUUGAAGGUUGGGUAACACUAACUGGAGGACCGAACCGACUAAUGUUGAAAAAUUAGCGGAUGACUUGUGGCUGGGGGUGAAAGGCCAAUCAAACCGGGAGAUAGCUGGUUCUCCCCGAAAGCUAUUUAGGUAGCGCCUCGUGAACUCAUCUUCGGGGGUAGAGCACUGUUUCGGCUAGGGGGUCAUCCCGACUUACCAACCCGAUGCAAACUACGAAUACCGAAGAAUGUUAUCACGGGAGACACACGGCGGGUGCUAACGUCCGUCGUGAAGAGGGAAACAACCCAGACCGCCAGCUAAGGUCCCAAAGUCAUGGUUAAGUGGGAAACGAUGUGGGAAGGCACAGACAGCCAGGAUGUUGGCUUAGAAGCAGCCAUCAUUUAAAGAAAGCGUAAUAGCUCACUGGUCGAGUCGGCCUGCGCGGAAGAUGUAACGGGGCUAAACCAUGCACCGAAGCUGCGGCAGCGACACUAUGUGUUGUUGGGUAGGGGAGCGUUCUGUAAGCCUGCGAAGGUGUGCUGUGAGGCAUGCUGGAGGUAUCAGAAGUGCGAAUGCUGACAUAAGUAACGAUAAAGCGGGUGAAAAGCCCGCUCGCCGGAAGACCAAGGGUUCCUGUCCAACGUUAAUCGGGGCAGGGUGAGUCGACCCCUAAGGCGAGGCCGAAAGGCGUAGUCGAUGGGAAACAGGUUAAUAUUCCUGUACUUGGUGUUACUGCGAAGGGGGGACGGAGAAGGCUAUGUUAGCCGGGCGACGGUUGUCCCGGUUUAAGCAUGUAGGCUGGUUAUCCAGGCAAAUCCGGAUAAUCAAGGCUGAGGUGUGAUGACGAGGCACUACGGUGCUGAAGUAACAAAUGCCCUGCUUCCAGGAAAAGCCUCUAAGCAUCAGGUAACAUCAAAUCGUACCCCAAACCGACACAGGUGGUCAGGUAGAGAAUACCAAGGCGCUUGAGAGAACUCGGGUGAAGGAACUAGGCAAAAUGGUGCCGUAACUUCGGGAGAAGGCACGCUGGUGUGUAGGUGAAGCCCCUGCGGGUGGAGCUGAGACCAGUCGAAGAUACCAGCUGGCUGCAACUGUUUAUUAAAAACACAGCACUGUGCAAACACGAAAGUGGACGUAUACGGUGUGACGCCUGCCCGGUGCCGGAAGGUUAAUUGAUGGGGUUAUCCGUAAGGAGAAGCUCUUGAUCGAAGCCCCGGUAAACGGCGGCCGUAACUAUAACGGUCCUAAGGUAGCGAAAUUCCUUGUCGGGUAAGUUCCGACCUGCACGAAUGGCGUAAUGAUGGCCAGGCUGUCUCCACCCGAGACUCAGUGAAAUUGAACUCGCUGUGAAGAUGCAGUGUACCCGCGGCAAGACGGAAAGACCCCGUGAACCUUUACUAUAGCUUGACACUGAACAUUGAGCCUUGAUGUGUAGGAUAGGUGGGAGGCUUUGAAGCGUGGACGCCAGUCUGCGUGGAGCCAACCUUGAAAUACCACCCUUUAAUGUUUGAUGUUCUAACGUUGGCCCCUGACCGGGGUUGCGGACAGUGUCUGGUGGGUAGUUUGACUGGGGCGGUCUCCUCCCAAAGCGUAACGGAGGAGCACGAAGGUUAGCUAAUCCUGGUCGGACAUCAGGAGGUUAGUGCAAUGGCAUAAGCUAGCUUGACUGCGAGCGUGACGGCGCGAGCAGGUGCGAAAGCAGGUCAUAGUGAUCCGGUGGUUCUGAAUGGAAGGGCCAUCGCUCAACGGAUAAAAGGUACUCCGGGGAUAACAGGCUGAUACCGCCCAAGAGUUCAUAUCGACGGCGGUGUUUGGCACCUCGAUGUCGGCUCAUCACAUCCUGGGGCUGAAGUAGGUCCCAAGGGUAUGGCUGUUCGCCAUUUAAAGUGGUACGCGAGCUGGGUUUAGAACGUCGUGAGACAGUUCGGUCCCUAUCUGCCGUGGGCGCUGGAGAAUUGAGGGGGGCUGCUCCUAGUACGAGAGGACCGGAGUGGACGCAUCACUGGUGUUCGGGUUGUCAUGCCAAUGGCACUGCCCGGUAGCUAAAUGCGGAAGAGAUAAGUGCUGAAAGCAUCUAAGCACGAAACUUGCCCCGAGAUGAGUUCUCCCUGAGACUUUAAGUCUCCUGAAGGAACGUUAAAGACGAUGACGUUGAUAGGCCGGGUGUGUAAGCGCAGCGAUGCGUUGAGCUAACCGGUACUAAUGAACCGUGAGGCUUAACCUU